UACAGAGGUCCCGAGCGUUGUUCGGAUUCACUGGGCGUAAAGGGUGCGUAGGUGGCAUAGAAAGUUUGAUGUGAAAGCUCAGGGCUUAACCCUGAAAUGGCAUUGAAUACUGCUGUGCUGGAGGUUUGGAGGGGGGACUGGAAUUCUUGGUGUAGCAGUGAAAUGCGUAGAUAUCAAGAGGGACACCAGUGGCGAAGGCGAGUCCCUGGACAACACCUGACACUGAGGCACGAAAGCUAGGGGAGCAAACGGG
Molecule: ribosomal RNA, 253 nt
Filed under: uncultured bacterium
Lineage: Bacteria
Description: partial 16S ribosomal RNA
Rfam family: Bacterial small subunit ribosomal RNA
Source: RNAcentral